RNAcentral lists this ribosomal RNA (473 nucleotides) under uncultured bacterium. RNAcentral's name for it is "bacterial SSU rRNA". It matches the Rfam family "Bacterial small subunit ribosomal RNA", at positions 383 to 874 of the family's 1533-position model. The record is from RNAcentral.
CUGAUCCAGCCAUGCCGCGUGAGUGAUGAAGGCCUUAGGGUCGUAAAGCUCUUUCGCCAGAGAUGAUAAUGACAGUAUCUGGUGAAGAAACCCCGGCUAACUCCGUGCCAGCAGCCGCGGUAAUACGGAGGGGGUUAGCGUUGUUCGGAAUUACUGGGCGUAAAGCGCGCGUAGGCGGAUUAGUAAGUUAGAGGUGAAAUCCCGGGGCUCAACCCCGGAACUGCCUUUAAUACUGCUAGUCUUGAGUUCGAGAGAGGUGAGUGGAAUUCCGAGUGUAGAGGUGAAAUUCGUAGAUAUUCGGAGGAACACCAGUGGCGAAGGCGGCUCACUGGCUCGAUACUGACGCUGAGGUGCGAAAGUGUGGGGAGCAAACAGGAUUAGAUACCCUGGUAGUCCACACCGUAAACGAUGAAUGCCAGUCGUCGGGUAGCAUGCUAUUCGGUGACACACCUAACGGAUUAAGCAUUCCGCUU